AGUAGCCACGGGAAAACGAGGGGUGCAAGCGUUAUUCGGAUUGAUUGGGUGUAAAGGGUGUGCAGACGGCUUAUUAAGUCACUUGUUAAAUUCUUCGGCCUAACUGAAGGUCUGCAAGUGAUACUGAUGAGCUAGAGGGUGGAAGAGAGAAGUGGAAUUCUCGGAGUAGCGGUAAAAUGCGUAGAUCUCGAGAGGAACACCAAUGGCGAAGGCAGCUUCUUGGUCCAUUCCUGACGUUCAUACACGAAAGCGUGGGGAGCAAACAGGAUUAGAUACCCGCGUAGUCCCUGUCUCUUAUACA
RNAcentral lists this ribosomal RNA (301 nucleotides) under uncultured bacterium. Its description in RNAcentral is "partial 16S ribosomal RNA". It matches the Rfam family "Bacterial small subunit ribosomal RNA", at positions 510 to 808 of the family's 1533-position model. The record is from RNAcentral.